Molecule: long non-coding RNA, 1044 nt
Organism: Gadus morhua (Atlantic cod)
Lineage: Eukaryota; Metazoa; Chordata; Actinopteri; Gadiformes; Gadidae
Exons: 6
Source: RefSeq, a predicted model, not a curated record
GUGUCUUUAAGUUCCAGCCAAUCACUGAUGAUCUAGGAUAUCAAAACGCCUGUGUUUUAAGGGCAAAUCUUUCAAUUGAGUUAGUACAGCACUAGUAGAGCAGCGAAACGCAACUAUGUCUGCAAGAGUUUUUGCUAUUACAAUUCUUAUGGGGUUAUCGAUGAUUGACACCAAAGAGGGUCCUCAUAUUGUCUCUUUGCAAAUAGCAAGACUUGGAGAGGAUGUUACUUUACAUUGUGGUGAUAGAAAGGAAAGUAGAUUUAUUCACUGGUACAAGCAAUCGAUUGGAUAUGUUCCCCAAAAGGUCGCUACAAUAGUUGGUGAUGAUUUUAGUCAAAUUUUCCCUCCUUUCGAUUCACGUUUCACUGCAGCAGACAUGAAUCUGAACAUUACAUCUGUGAGUAAAAGAAGACGAAGGAAACUAUUUCUGCCAAGAGCAUAUUUCAAAGAAUUGGAAAAGUGGAUUUUUUUUGUCUAUCAAAGAUCCCAAUGACCAGAGGUUUGUCUCCCAGACCUGUGGACCAACAGCCUGUGUCUGCAUCAGCUCAGCUGGGAGACCCUGUGGCUCUCCAGUGCUCUAUUACCUCCCAGAGGACGGACCACAGUAACCAGUGUCAAGGGGAACCAAGUGUGUACUGGUUCAGAUCAGGACCAUCUCACCCUGCUGCCAUUUCCGUGAAUGGAAACACGAGGGGUGAAUGUCGGAAUAGUUCUGGGCCUCCGUCUGCUCCACAGAGCUGUGUCUACACUCUCCCCAAGAAACAAUGUAGACUCCUCUGAUGCUGGGACCUACUACUGUGCCCUGGCAUUAUGUGGGGAAGUUGUGUUUGGAAAUGGAACCCAGCUGGAUAUACCAGGAGCCAAGCUGUUUCCAGCAACCAUGGUACUUGAAUACUGUUGGCUUGCUGUCUGGUUGUGAUUAUAAUCCUCCUUCUCACCAAAAAUAAAAAUCAAGUUUGUGAGCAUUGCAAAGGAACACUGGGUGCUUCCUACUCUGUCCCACACGACUCAGUGAAUCAGGAACCACAGGACGGGAAAACCGAA